Molecule: long non-coding RNA, 243 nt
Filed under: Daucus carota (carrot)
Lineage: Eukaryota; Viridiplantae; Streptophyta; Magnoliopsida; Apiales; Apiaceae
Description: long non-coding RNA (DCAR_LNC003715)
Source: RNAcentral
CCUUUGCCAUAAUUAAGCCUUUGUCUAACCUCCCAGAGCAAACAACUCUGGAUCCUUAAUUGGAUAAGCCACUUAGUGGUUGGCAACUUGUGGACCAUGAUUCGGAUUUAUCUGAUGAGUCUGUAGGGACUGGGAAUUACGAACUCCCAUUGCACCACCGGUGACCCCCUUUAAGGGUGGCUAAGGUGAUUUUCUUGCAGGUACUCAGCAUUUUGGAAGCUCAGUAUUUGUGUGGAGGGAUAC